GAUGAACGCUGGCGGCGUGCCUAAUACAUGCAAGUCGAGCGAACGGACGAGAAGCUUGCUUCUCUGAUGUUAGCGGCGGACGGGUGAGUAACACGUGGAUAACCUACCUAUAAGACUGGGAUAACUUCGGGAAACCGGAGCUAAUACCGGAUAAUAUUUUGAACCGCAUGGUUCAAAAGUGAAAGACGGUCUUGCUGUCACUUAUAGAUGGAUCCGCGCUGCAUUAGCUAGUUGGUAAGGUAACGGCUUACCAAGGCAACGAUGCAUAGCCGACCUGAGAGGGUGAUCGGCCACACUGGAACUGAGACACGGUCCAGACUCCUACGGGAGGCAGCAGUAGGGAAUCUUCCGCAAUGGGCGAAAGCCUGACGGAGCAACGCCGCGUGAGUGAUGAAGGUCUUCGGAUCGUAAAACUCUGUUAUUAGGGAAGAACAUAUGUGUAAGUAACUGUGCACAUCUUGUCGGUACCUAAUCAGAAAGCCACGGCUAACUACGUGCCAGCAGCCGCGGUAAUACGUAGGUGGCAAGCGUUAUCCGGAAUUAUUGGGCGUAAGCGCGCGUAGGCGGUUUUUUAAGUCUGAUGUGAAAGCCCACGGCUCAACCGUGGAGGGUCAUUGGAAACCGGAAAACUUGAGUGCAGAAGAGGAAAGUGGAAUUCCAUGUGUAGCGGUGAAAUGCGCAGAGAUAUGGAGGAACACCAGUGGCGAAGGCGACUUUCUGGUCUGUAACUGACGCUGAUGUGCGAAAGCGUGGGGAUCAAACAGGAUUAGAUACCCUGGUAGUCCACGCCGUAAACGAUGAGUGCUAAGUGUUAGGGGGUUUCCGCCCCUUAGUGCUGCAGCUAACGCAUUAAGCACUCCGCCUGGGGAGUACGACCGCAAGGUUGAAACUCAAAGGAAUUGACGGGGACCCGCACAAGCGGUGGAGCAUGUGGUUUAAUUCGAAGCAACGCGAAGAACCUUACCAAAUCUUGACAUCCUUUGACAACUCUAGAGAUAGAGCCUUCCCCUUCGGGGGACAAAGUGACAGGUGGUGCAUGGUUGUCGUCAGCUCGUGUCGUGAUAUGUUGGGUUAAGUCCCGCAACGAGCGCAACCCUUAAGCUUAGUUGCCAUCAUUAAGUUGGGCACUCUAAGUUGACUGCCGGUGACAAACCGGAGGAAGGUGGGGAUGACGUCAAAUCAUCAUGCCCCUUAUGAUUUGGGCUACACACGUGCUACAAUGGACAAUACAAAGGGCAGCGAAACCGCGAGGUCAAGCAAAUCCCAUAAAGUUGUUCUCAGUUCGGAUUGUAGUCUGCAACUCGGCUACAUGAAGCUGGAAUCGCUAGUAAUCGUAGAUCAGCACGCUACGGUGAAUACGUUCCCGGGUCU
Molecule: ribosomal RNA, 1371 nt
Filed under: uncultured bacterium
Lineage: Bacteria
Description: bacterial SSU rRNA
Rfam family: Bacterial small subunit ribosomal RNA
Source: RNAcentral